RNAcentral lists this ribosomal RNA (484 nucleotides) under uncultured bacterium. Its description in RNAcentral is "bacterial SSU rRNA". It matches the Rfam family "Bacterial small subunit ribosomal RNA", at positions 28 to 534 of the family's 1533-position model. The record is from RNAcentral.
GACGAACGCUGGCGGUGUGCUUCAUACAUGCAAGUCGAACGAUAAGGCACCUUCGGGUGUACAUAAGUGGCGGACGGGUGAGUAACACGUAGGAAAUCUGCCCUAAGGAGGGGGACAACAUCGGGAAACUGGUGCUAAUACCCCAUAUGUGGCUAGCUGAAAUGCUAGUCAUGAAAGUUCCGGCGCCUUAGGAUGAGCCUGCGUCUGAUUAGCUAGUUGGUAGGGUAAAGGCCUACCAAGGCGACGAUCAGUAGCUGGUUUGAGAGGAUGAUCAGCCACAAUGGGACUGAGACACGGCCCAUACUCCUACGGGAGGCAGCAGUAGGGAAUUUUGCGCAAUGGGCGAAAGCCUGACGCAGCAACACCGCGUGAGCGAUGAAGCCCUUUGGGGUGUAAAGCUCUGUCAGUAGGGACGAAUUUUGACGGUACCUACAGAGGAAGCACCGGCUAACUCCGUGCCAGCAGCCGCGGUAAACGUAGCGUG